RNAcentral lists this ribosomal RNA (200 nucleotides) under uncultured bacterium. Its description in RNAcentral is "partial 16S ribosomal RNA". It matches the Rfam family "Bacterial small subunit ribosomal RNA", at positions 524 to 722 of the family's 1533-position model. The record is from RNAcentral.
UACGUAGGGUGCGAGCGUUAAUCGGAAUUACUGGGCGUAAAGCGUGCGCAGGCGGCUUUGCAAGACAGAUGUGAAAUCCCCGGGCUCAACCUGGGAACUGCAUUUGUGACUGCAAGGCUUGAGUGCGGCAGAGGGGGGAUGGAAUUCCGCGUGUAGCAGUGAAAUGCGUAGAUAUGCGGAGGAACACCGAUGGCGAAGGC